ACCGGUGGCGCAUCCACAACCCCUGUGACCGUUCAAAACACUCGGCUUUGUACAAGUGCAAGUCACGCAUACGGAUGUAUUGACCUUCAAUCAGUCAGGAUACUUUGUGCAAACAACCUGAAGGCUUUACAUUGAGAAGUUGAAGAAAAUACCUUCGUAUGGAGUGAGGUGCUGCUGCUGUAAUGGAGCUCAGCAGGGGAGAGGUGCCACUUUAUGGUCAGGUGGAGGUCUGCGUGAAGCUGCCGCUGUCUGAGUUUGUUCAGGAGGAAACGGACUACUAUGUGCUGCUUGUGGGCUCUUCCCUUCACCAUGUAACUGCAGCUCAUAGGACUGAGGAUCACAGCUCCAUUAGGUUCACUGUACCUGG
This is a non-coding RNA of Danio rerio (zebrafish), 367 nucleotides long. NCBI's taxonomy places the organism in Eukaryota, Metazoa, Chordata, Actinopteri, Cypriniformes, Danionidae. The record is from Ensembl.